UACGAAGGGUGCAAGCGUUACUCGGAAUUACUGGGCGUAAAGCGUGCGUAGGUGGUGAGUUAAGUCUGUCGUGAAAGCCCCGGGCUCAACCUGGGAAUGGCGAUGGAUACUGGCUCGCUAGAGUGCGGUAGAGGAGAGUGGAAUUCCACGUGUAGCAGUGAAAUGCGUAGAGAUGUGGAGGAACACCGAUGGCGAAGGCAGCCCCCUGGGCUAACACUGACGCUCAUGCACGAAAGCGUGGGGAGCAAACAGG
This 253-nucleotide ribosomal RNA is filed under the name uncultured bacterium. RNAcentral's name for it is "partial 16S ribosomal RNA". It matches the Rfam family "Bacterial small subunit ribosomal RNA", at positions 524 to 776 of the family's 1533-position model. The record is from RNAcentral.